UUUCAACUUGACUGGUCUACGGUGUGUC
RNAcentral lists this non-coding RNA (28 nucleotides) under Homo sapiens (human). The record is from RNAcentral. Lineage: Eukaryota; Metazoa; Chordata; Mammalia; Primates; Hominidae.